RNAcentral lists this long non-coding RNA (1918 nucleotides) under Mus musculus (house mouse). Its description in RNAcentral is "predicted gene, 34006". Lineage: Eukaryota; Metazoa; Chordata; Mammalia; Rodentia; Muridae. The record is from RNAcentral.
GGCGGCUGAGGAACUGCAGAGUUGAGAGGUAGCCGUAGGUCUGCAGCACCAGAUUCCUGCGACACUGCAGCAGCCAGGGAGAAGAGAAGAAACAACAGAGAGCCCUGCCUCCCCUGGCUUCAGGGUGACACCAGGACUCUGUGGAAUGACUUUUUUUUAGUUUAGUACAAACUCAGGACUGCCCCUGGGUGAAAAAUACCUUUCUUCUCAGAUUAACCCAAGCUGUAACCACCCCACAACGUGAAGAGUGCUGUCUCCUUAGCUGUGGCUGAAGAGCUCCUCGUGGAUGCAGGGAGCUGAUCUAUUCCAAAAGGUUCACCUGACUGAAGGUACUUUUGUCGCCGUGGGAACUGACUGUCUAGACCUACACACUAACAUCCCAGCCUGACCAAAAAAGUGUGCAUAUGCGUGCGCAUGCAUGUGCGUGCAUGCGUGCGUGGGUGCGUGCGGUAUUGCUGGCGGCUCCCCUGAGAUGUGGAGGGCUGACUCCUACACCCAGUAGCCAUCACUAUGGGUAAAUCAGCCAAAUUGCAACCCUCUGGGCGCAACGGAAAAGGUUUCCGACCUGCGUCCCUCCUGCCUACCCCCCACCCCCUCCCCAAGUCUCCACCUAGGUCUUUGCAUCUGCUGAUCCACCCGCAAGCUUGCAGGAAUAUAGGGGACACACCGGCUCUCUAGAACUGAAACCGAGUUGGCAAGAUCAAAGCGGAGGAGCUGAGGUGACAACCUUUGAGUUUGGCUUGUUUCCUAGAUCGCCUAUGACCUCCAACCUUCAGCCCCACAACGAGAAGAGAAGCAGAAAGUGAAACUACUGUUGCUCUAGCAGAGAACAGCAGCCGCAGAAGAACUGUGCAGAUGAAAGCCGAGCUUGCCCGCUCGUUCUUCCUGUCUCGUUAUUGCUCAUAUAUAGCUUUUAAGGAAAUAAAAGUAAUUUUGGUGACACGGGUAAGACAUUUAAAUGUGGUAAAACAACUAAGAUUUGGGAUUUUGUUGGAUCUGUGUUUCCUCUUAUGACACAAAUCAGACAGGCAGAUUUGGAGAAGGUUUCUACACACACACACAGUCACAAUGUUAAGAGUGAGAGAAACACAUUCAUGUUUUAAUAGUAGUUGACAGCUAUAUUUUAAAGGUAGACUGUAAAGCUACCAAGCGGCUUCUCUGCACGGGGCAUCAAUGUUUACAUUUUAGCUGCAUUUUGAUGCUACGCAGUGCUAGUUUUCUAGGUAAUUGCCACCCAGUAGCUGUUACUCAGAUCGACUGAGCCACUUCUACCAAGCAACAAGCACACAAAAUGUUCCAUAAAAUACUGUCUAAAUCAGGCACCUUCUCCUCUACAGCCAUCUCCAUACUUCUACAUGUUCUCCAGACAUUCCGUUUUGUUUUGUUCUUAAUGAGAAAAAAGUCUUGAGGAGGGAAAGACAUCUAUGUCUCUUACCCUUCAAAAAAAAAUGUUCCUUAGUUGAGAAAGGAAUUAAAAACAUGGAACACACAACAACCACAUCUGGAUCACUUUUCAAGCAUCCCAGCUACAAAGCCCCAUUUCUCAGAGAGCUGCUGAUGGUCCUAGCCCUCUUGAGAAAUGUCAUGACCCUAGAAAGACAACACAGCAAGCCGCCACCUCUGGCUUAUUGUCGAAAAUAACGGCAAGAACUUAGACUCAAGCGCAUCAAUGAUGAGUGAAAACUGCUAACUCAGCAGCCAUACCCACUGGUCCUGUCCAUCCGCAGAGCAACCUGUAGACGACACCCGGGGCUGCAGGCAGAAUGAGUGGAAGCUAUUUGGGGUCACAUAGGACUGUGUGAGGGGAGGAGGUGACUUUGUCUUUGAACUUGGGGAAACUCCAAACAUUCCAUACUAACCUGUUAGUUAUUUCCUCCUAAAAAAACUAAUAGCAGGAACUUGCAAACAAUUAAUACUC